GACGAACGCUGGCGGCGUGCUUAACACAUGCCAGUCGAACGGAAAGGCCCUGCUUUUGUGGGGUGCUCGAGUGGCGAACGGGUGAGUAACACGUGAGUAACCUGCCCUUGACUUUGGGAUAACUUCAGGAAACUGGGGCUAAUACCGGAUAGGAGCUCCUGCUGCAUGGUGGGGGUUGGAAAGUUUCGGCGGUGGUGGCUGGACUCGCGGCUUAUCAGCUUGUUGGUGGGGUAGUGGCUUACCAAGGCUUUGACGGGUAGCCGGCCUGGGAGGGUGACCGGCCACAUUGGGACUGAGGUACGGCCCAGACUCCUACGGGCGGCAGCAGUGGGGAAUAUUGCACAAUGGGCGGAAGCCUGAUGCAGCAACGCCGCGUGCGGGAUGACGGCCUUCGGGUUGUAAACCGCUUUCGCCUGUGACGAAGCGGGAGUGACGGUAAUGGGUAAAGAAGCACCGGCUAACUACGUG
Molecule: ribosomal RNA, 468 nt
Filed under: uncultured bacterium
Lineage: Bacteria
Description: partial 16S ribosomal RNA
Rfam family: Bacterial small subunit ribosomal RNA
Source: RNAcentral